UGCGUAGGCGGACUUGUAGGUGUGUCGUGAAAUCCCCCGGCUCAACCGGGGAACUGCGGUGCAAACCACAAGUCUUGAGGUAGGUAGAGGUUGUCGGAACGUUCGGUGGAGCGGUGAAAUGCGUUGAUAUCGAACGGAACGCCGAUGGUGAAGACAGGCAACUGGGCCUUACCUGACGCUGAGGCACGAAAGCGUGGGGAUCAAACA
RNAcentral lists this ribosomal RNA (207 nucleotides) under uncultured bacterium. RNAcentral describes it as "partial 16S ribosomal RNA". It matches the Rfam family "Bacterial small subunit ribosomal RNA", at positions 568 to 774 of the family's 1533-position model. The record is from RNAcentral.